AUUGAACGCUGGCGGCAGGCCUAACACAUGCAAGUCGAGCGGAUGAAGGGAGCUUGCUCCUGGAUUCAGCGGCGGACGGGUGAGUAAUGCCUAGGAAUCUGCCUGGUAGUGGGGGAUAACGUCCGGAAACGGGCGCUAAUACCGCAUACGUCCUGAGGGAGAAAGUGGGGGAUCUUCGGACCUCACGCUAUCAGAUGAGCCUAGGUCGGAUUAGCUAGUUGGUGGGGUAAAGGCCUACCAAGGCGACGAUCCGUAACUGGUCUGAGAGGAUGAUCAGUCACACUGGAACGGAGACACGGUCCAGACUCCUACGGGAGGCAGCAGUGGGGAAUAUUGGACAAUGGGCGAAAGCCUGAUCCAGCCAUGCCGCGUGUGUGGAGAAGGUCUUCGGAUUGUAAAGCACUUUAAGUUGGGAGGAAGGGCAGUAAGUUAAUACCUUGCUGUUUUGACGUUACCAACAGAAUAAGCACCGGCUAACUUCGUG
Molecule: ribosomal RNA, 484 nt
Filed under: uncultured bacterium
Lineage: Bacteria
Description: partial 16S ribosomal RNA
Rfam family: Bacterial small subunit ribosomal RNA
Source: RNAcentral